This 1428-nucleotide ribosomal RNA is filed under the name unidentified. Its description in RNAcentral is "bacterial SSU rRNA". It matches the Rfam family "Bacterial small subunit ribosomal RNA". The record is from RNAcentral.
CCACUGAGUGAUGGUGCAUGCACCUGAUUGACGAUGGAUCACCAGUGAGUGGCGGACGGGUGAGUAACACGUAGGUAACCUGCCCCGGAGCGGGGGAUAACAUUUGGAAACAGAUGCUAAUACCGCAUAACAACAAAAGCCACAUGGCUUUUGUUUGAAAGAUGGCUUUGGCUAUCACUCUGGGAUGGACCUGCGGUGCAUUAGCUAGUUGGUAAGGUAACGGCUUACCAAGGCGAUGAUGCAUAGCCGAGUUGAGAGACUGAUCGGCCACAAUGGAACUGAGACACGGUCCAUACUCCUACGGGAGGCAGCAGUAGGGAAUCUUCCACAAUGGGCGCAAGCCUGAUGGAGCAACACCGCGUGAGUGAAGAAGGGUUUCGGCUCGUAAAGCUCUGUUGUUGGAGAAGAACGUGCGUGAGAGUAACUGUUCACGCAGUGACGGUAUCCAACCAGAAAGUCACGGCUAACUACGUGCCAGCAGCCGCGGUAAUACGUAGGUGGCAAGCGUUAUCCGGAUUUAUUGGGCGUAAAGCGAGCGCAGGCGGUUGCUUAGGUCUGAUGUGAAAGCCUUCGGCUUAACCGAAGAAGUGCAUCGGAAACCGGGCGACUUGAGUGCAGAAGAGGACAGUGGAACUCCAUGUGUAGCGGUGGAAUGCGUAGAUAUAUGGAAGAACACCAGUGGCGAAGGCGGCUGUCUGGUCUGCAACUGACGCUGAGGCUCGAAAGCAUGGGUAGCGAACAGGAUUAGAUACCCUGGUAGUCCAUGCCGUAAACGAUGAGUGCUAGGUGUUGGAGGGUUUCCGCCCUUCAGUGCCGGAGCUAACGCAUUAAGCACUCCGCCUGGGGAGUACGACCGCAAGGUUGAAACUCAAAGGAAUUGACGGGGGCCCGCACAAGCGGUGGAGCAUGUGGUUUAAUUCGAAGCUACGCGAAGAACCUUACCAGGUCUUGACAUCUUGCGCUAACCUUAGAGAUAAGGCGUUCCCUUCGGGGACGCAAUGACAGGUGGUGCAUGGUCGUCGUCAGCUCGUGUCGUGAGAUGUUGGGUUAAGUCCCGCAACGAGCGCAACCCUUGUUACUAGUUGCCAGCAUUAAGUUGGGCACUCUAGUGAGACUGCCGGUGACAAACCGGAGGAAGGUGGGGACGACGUCAGAUCAUCAUGCCCCUUAUGACCUGGGCUACACACGUGCUACAAUGGACGGUACAACGAGUCGCAAGCUCGCGAGAGUAAGCUAAUCUCUUAAAGCCGUUCUCAGUUCGGACUGUAGGCUGCAACUCGCCUACACGAAGUCGGAAUCGCUAGUAAUCGCGGAUCAGCAUGCCGCGGUGAAUACGUUCCCGGGCUUUGUCCACGCCGCCCGUCACACCACAGGGAGUUCCAACGUCCCAAUGUCCGUGGCCAACAGUCUACAGAGACCCAGUGGUCC